This 358-nucleotide transfer-messenger RNA is filed under the name Chloroflexota bacterium. RNAcentral describes it as "Chloroflexi bacterium transfer-messenger RNA". It matches the Rfam family "transfer-messenger RNA". Rfam says of the family: Bacterial tmRNA, also known as 10Sa RNA or SsrA, is named for its dual tRNA and mRNA-like properties. Lineage: Bacteria; Bacillati; Chloroflexota. The record is from RNAcentral.
GGGGACGAAAGGGUUCGACAGCGGUUGAUUUCGAGUUGCUGCGUGCCGAGCUGGCGUCACUCGUUAAACGUCGCCACCACUCCCUAAUUGGCGAAUCCAGGGAACUCGCCCUCGCCGCCUAACCGCGGUGACGUCGCUCCUCAGCCGUAACCGAGUCGGAGAGGACGCGGCGCCGACACACUCGGUUGCUCGUCGCGGGCGGUCGGGACCGCGACGCUAAGACCAACUCCACUCACCCAGCUGUAACGGUCGGCCGACGCGCCGGCGGCCGGGGACAACACAAGCGACGGCUACGCACGUAGACGCGGCCCGCGACGAUCGUCUGGACGGGGAGUUCGAUUCUCCCCCGUCUCCACCA